Molecule: long non-coding RNA, 719 nt
Organism: Homo sapiens (human)
Lineage: Eukaryota; Metazoa; Chordata; Mammalia; Primates; Hominidae
Exons: 3
Source: RefSeq, a predicted model, not a curated record
CAGCAAGAAGGUGCCAUCUUGGAAGUAAAGAGCAGUCCUCACCAGACAACCAAACCUACCAUUGCCUUGAUCUUAGACUUCGCAGCCUCCAGAACUACUUCCCACUGGGUUCCAGCCGGCACACCCAACCUCUUCAGGACCUGAAUACAGCAGAGUGACUAUUCCAGUUUGAAAGGACAUUCAAGAGCACAAAAGACCAGUGACUUCUGGGGAUAUUUCCUGAUGUUCUUGGCACUUUUACAAUUUCUGCUGUUUUUCCUUUUUUACGUAAAUCCUCCCCUAGUAACCAGCAUGGGGUAUUUCUGAAGUUCAUUUAGUGCCAUUUUUCUGUAUUGUCCAACAGAUUGUUUCUAGUACCUUCUGAUGUGUGGCAGCUGUGUUUUAACAAUUCCAAGUAUACCAUAUGAAAGUAAUCAAAGACAUUAACACACUAGUGUCCGCAGCUCUAGGGGUAUUUCCUGCAUGUGGUACUGGUAGGCCAUGUGAAGUUGUACAUAAAUUACUUUGUUUUGUUUUUUUGGUUUGGGGUAUUUUUUUGCUUGUUUUGUUUUGUUCUUAGCAUGCUGAAGUGUUCUCUAAAUAUAUGUGAACUCAUCACAUGCUUGUAUUUGUGGAUCCAUGAUUCUGUGGACAUAGCUAGCUACAAAGAGCAUCAUACAAAAAUCAGCAUUCAAGUAUAAUGUUUACAGAGCAUAGAAUAUUUCACAUAUUAAUCUGUG